AGUGAACGCUGGCGGUAGGCCUAACACAUGCAAGUCGAACGGCAGCACAGUAAGAUCUUGCUCUUACGGGUGGCGAGUGGCGGACGGGUGACGAAUGGAUCGGAAUCUACUUUUUCGGGGGGGAUAACGUAGGGAAACUUACGCUAAUACCGCAUACGACCUACGGGUGAAAGCAGGAGAUCUUCGGACCUUGCGCGAUUGAAUUAGCCGAUGUCGGAGUAGCUAGUUGGCGGGGUAAAGGCCCACCAAGGCGACGAUCCGUAGCUGGUCUGAGAGGAUGAUCGGCCACACUGGAACUGAGACACGGUCCAGACUCCUACGGGAGGCAGCAGUGGGGAAUAUUGGACAAUGGGCGCAAGCCUGAUCCAGCCAUACCGCGUGGGUGAAGAAGGCCUUCGGGUUGUAAAGCCCUUUUGUUGGGAAAGAAAAGCAGCAGGUUUAUACCCCGCUGUUCUGACGGUACCCAAAGAAUAAGCACCGGCUAACUUCGUG
RNAcentral lists this ribosomal RNA (492 nucleotides) under uncultured bacterium. RNAcentral's name for it is "partial 16S ribosomal RNA". It matches the Rfam family "Bacterial small subunit ribosomal RNA", at positions 29 to 507 of the family's 1533-position model. The record is from RNAcentral.